GGUGAAAAUUUGGUUUCAGAAUAAAAGGUCCAAGUACAAGAAGGUAAUGAAACACGGUCCAAGUGUGCAAGAUGUUGACCUGACACACACCACGUCUUCGCUUUCUCCUUCUUCUCCAAACAUGCCUCCCAUGUGGGAUGUUCUCCCGGGUGGAAAAACUGCACAAAUUUCUUCCAGUUACUUGAACAAUUUUAACCCCUGGUACCAGCCACAUGACACAUUAUCGAGGCCACCAAUUAUGUAGCUUAAAGGACUUAGGUCUUUUAAGCUGAGAUGAUUAAAAAGAAGCCCAUAUGAUUAAGAGCUUUCUCUGACCUACCAAACUUGCCUUCUUCUUAAAGUCCUCCGUCUGAAGAAAUAAAACCUGGGAAAUAUCGAUGCAUAGACAAUGGCUUUUCUAUAAGCCGGUUCUCAUGAAAAUGGAGAUAAUUGAUGAACCAUGAUAUUUUUCUAUUUAUUCAUUAGAAAUGUUUUUACUGAUCUGUUACAGCUCAUGUCUUAAUUACAGAAGAUCAAAUUAUUAUCCAAUUGUAUACAUUUGAUUAUCUUCGUCAAUAUUUCACUGGCCACAUAUUAUUUAAAAGUUAACAUAAGCACAUCAAUGUAUUUUGGUAGUGCCUUCAGUUUCCUUCAAAGAACAUUGAGUUGAUAGACACAAAUAUACCAAAAGAAACUUCAUCUGUAGGUUUGAUUUGUCUUGAAUUUCAUAAUAGAAAUGAAUUAAGGAAGUAAUUAAUUAUAGACGAUAAGAAGAGCAUGUCUGGUAGCUGUAAAACUUAAAAAUCAAGAAGAUUAGAAAAGGAGACAGAACAUUUAUUUUUGGCCUUUUGAACCAAAGGACAUACCCUUAAGAGUAAUGAAUGCAGAUUUUUGUUUAAUCAAGGAUUUUGUAAACUAUCCCAUGUAGAAACUGGAUUUUUGUUAAAAACAAAUAGGACUGUAUUAAUUUUAUAGUUUAUGAAAGCAUGGUCAUAUGCUUCUCAUCUCUGUCGUUAUUUUAUUUUAAAAAAUGAGUUUGGCAUGGUGUGCCUUUAAAUCACGUGCAUUAUUAAGAACCCACCACUCAAGAACACAUUACACAUGUUCUAUGAUCACAGAGACCGGACAGUUUUAAAGAAAAUCGACAUCACAGAGAUAUGAUGAGAUUUUGCCUGCAUUCCAUAAGUAUGUGAUGAAGAUCCUUUCCAUCUCUCCUUGCCUUGCAAUAGAUUACCGAAAACCGCCAAUGCUGAUGUGAAUUUGUGAAAUAUUAAUAUGCUAAAUAGAAUAUUAAAUUGUUGAACAUUAUGGAAAAAAAAAAAGUUUCACACAAAUGAUGCAAUAAACAAUUAUUUUCCAUUUUAACAUUUUUUUCUAAAUUUAUAUUAGAACUCUUAUUGAGCCAUGAGGAAGGACUUGUAGAAACCCAAUACUGCUGUAGAAAAUUGCACUAUUUCUUCACGUAUUUUCAACUUAAAGCUCAGAAAAAGAGAGAUGUUCCAGGAAAAGUAAACUGGCAGGCAUUUCCACUAAAGUGUGAAUUGUCAAGAAUUCAAACUGAAUUUCGAAUUUUAGGCGCAAUAGGCACUGGAAGCAUCAUCUCCAUUGGACAUGGAGAAUAUGGUCCGGUCUGCUAUUUGGCUUUAAAGGAGGUACUGAAGGUACCACUUGAUCUUAGUGAAGUGGUCUGGGUGCAGUGGCUCUUAAUUUUAACCCUGCAAUGUAAAAAGACUUCCUGGCAACCACUAGGGUCUCUUCAAUGUUUUCAUAGAGCAUUUGAUUGGCACAGAAUGUAGAUUUACCGCAAAUGAGCAUGGGCCUCCUAAUGCUUCCCUGUGGGGAAGCAUCGGAUUGGCUGAGAUCAUCACUCUUCCUCAUUUUAGCCAGGGAGGCGGAGCAGCUGCAACAAGUAUAGUAAUCUCACUUUUCAAACCCUCAUGGGGGCGCAGGGAGAAACCUAAAAAGGCAGUGGAACAUUAUCAUAUAAGGGAUAAAUGUUUUUAUUCCUGAAGCUAUAGUGUUCCUUUAAGUUUGAAUAUACCAACAAUGUGUAAUUUAAUGAAUAGCCUGUUAGUCUAAGAUCGCAAUUAUGCAUUUUAUUCAUUUACACAUGCGAUAACUGGGAAAAAGGAUGUUUUAUCUGAUAUCAAAUCAUUGCAUUAUAAAAAUAGGUAUCAAAUAAUAUACACCUGUCAAACCAAAAAUAAUGUUUACAAAAUUUGGGGAGAUAAAUCCUUUCAAAACAAUCCUUUGUAGGUGGACAUUAAAAAAAUGUGCAUUUUUUAAAAUUUUUAUUAUUUUGUAUUAAUUUAACCAGUUUUUAAACUUGUUAUCACUAUUUCAAAGCCUCUUAUUUAUGAAUAAAGUUGCUGUUAUUGUGUAUACAACAGCAGCAACAUUUCUCGCACUGUAUUUCUAGAGCGUAUCAUUUUCUGGGAGUUAUUUUGUUUUUUCUUUGUAAAUAUAUAUUUGUAUAGCCUUGCAAUUUAAUGUAUUUUUUUCAUUGCUUUAUAU
This 2493-nucleotide long non-coding RNA is filed under the name Pelobates cultripes (western spadefoot toad). Lineage: Eukaryota; Metazoa; Chordata; Amphibia; Anura; Pelobatidae. The record is from RNAcentral.